UACGGAGGGAGCUAGCGUUGUUCGGAAUUACUGGGCGUAAAGCGCACGUAGGCGGCUUUGUAAGUUAGAGGUGAAAGCCCGGGGCUCAACCCCGGAACUGCCUUUAAAACUGCAUCGCUUGAAUCCGGGAGAGGUGAGUGGAAUUCCGAGUGUAGAGGUGAAAUUCGUAGAUAUUCGGAAGAACACCAGUGGCGAAGGCGGCUCACUGGACCGGCAUUGACGCUGAGGUGCGAAAGCGUGGGGAGCAAACAGG
RNAcentral lists this ribosomal RNA (253 nucleotides) under uncultured bacterium. RNAcentral's name for it is "partial 16S ribosomal RNA". It matches the Rfam family "Bacterial small subunit ribosomal RNA", at positions 524 to 776 of the family's 1533-position model. The record is from RNAcentral.